Molecule: transfer RNA, 88 nt
Filed under: Legionella sp.
Lineage: Bacteria; Pseudomonadati; Pseudomonadota; Gammaproteobacteria; Legionellales; Legionellaceae
Also listed under: 1 other name
Description: tRNA-Ser
Rfam family: tRNA
About the family: Transfer RNA (tRNA) molecules are approximately 80 nucleotides in length. Their secondary structure includes four short double-helical elements and three loops (D, anti-codon, and T loops).
Source: RNAcentral
GGAGAGGUGGCCGAGCGGUUGAAGGCGCACGCCUGGAAAGUGUGUAUACGGCAACGUAUCGAGGGUUCGAAUCCCUCUCUCUCCGCCA